GCCUCCGUAGCUCAGGGGAUAGAGCACCGCUCUCCUAAAGCGGGUGCCGCAGGUUCGAAUCCUGCCGGAGGCGCCA
This 76-nucleotide transfer RNA is filed under the name Actinomadura fibrosa. RNAcentral describes it as "tRNA-Arg". It matches the Rfam family "tRNA". From Rfam's summary of the family: Transfer RNA (tRNA) molecules are approximately 80 nucleotides in length. Their secondary structure includes four short double-helical elements and three loops (D, anti-codon, and T loops). The record is from RNAcentral. RNAcentral also lists the same sequence under 9 other names. Lineage: Bacteria; Bacillati; Actinomycetota; Actinomycetes; Streptosporangiales; Thermomonosporaceae.